GAUGAACGCUGGCGGCGUGCCUAAUACAUGCAAGUCGAGCGAACAGACGAGGAGCUUGCUCCUCUGACGUUAGCGGCGGACGGGUGAGUAACACGUGGAUAACCUACCUAUAAGACUGGGAUAACUUCGGGAAACCGGAGCUAAUACCGGAUAAUAUAUUGAACCGCAUGGUUCAAUAGUGAAAGACGGUUUUGCUGUCACUUAUAGAUGGAUCCGCGCCGCAUUAGCUAGUUGGUAAGGUAACGGCUUACCAAGGCAACGAUGCGUAGCCGACCUGAGAGGGGGAUCGGCCACACUGGAACUGAGACACGGUCCAGACUCCUACGGGAUGCAGCAGUAGGGAAUCUUCCGCAAUGGGCGAAAGCCUGACGGAGCAACGCCGCGUGAGUGAUGAAGGUCUUCGGAUCGUAAAACUCUGUUAUUAGGGAAGAACAAAUGUGUAAGUAACUAUGCACGUCUUGACGGUACCUAAUCAGAAAGCCACGGCUAACUACGUG
RNAcentral lists this ribosomal RNA (497 nucleotides) under uncultured bacterium. RNAcentral describes it as "partial 16S ribosomal RNA". It matches the Rfam family "Bacterial small subunit ribosomal RNA", at positions 28 to 507 of the family's 1533-position model. The record is from RNAcentral.